This 253-nucleotide ribosomal RNA is filed under the name uncultured bacterium. Its description in RNAcentral is "partial 16S ribosomal RNA". It matches the Rfam family "Bacterial small subunit ribosomal RNA", at positions 524 to 776 of the family's 1533-position model. The record is from RNAcentral.
UACGUAGGGUGCGAGCGUUAAUCGGAAUUACUGGGCGUAAAGUGUGCGCAGGCGGCCGCGCAAGUCGAGUGUGAAAUCCCCGAGCUUAACUUGGGAAUUGCGCUCGAAACUACGUGGCUGGAGUGUGGCAGAGGAAGGUGGAAUUCCACGUGUAGCGGUGAAAUGCGUAGAUAUCAGGAGGAAUACCGAUGGCGAAGGCAGGUCUCUGGGCUGACACUGACGCUCAUGCACGAAAGCGUGGGGAGCAAACAGG